GACGUAGGGCGCGAGCGUUGUCCGGAUUUAUUGGGCGUAAAGAGCUCGUAGGCGGCUUGUCGCGUCGACUGUGAAAACCCGUGGCUCAACCAUGUGGUCUGCAGUCGAUACGGGCAGGCUAGAAUUCGGUAGGGGAGACUGGAAUUCCUAGUGUAGCGGUGAAAUGCGCAGAUAUCAGGAGGAACACCGGUGGCGAAGGCGGGUCUCUGGGCCGAUAUUGACGCUGAGGAGCGAAAGCGUGGGGAGCGAACAGG
RNAcentral lists this ribosomal RNA (254 nucleotides) under uncultured bacterium. Its description in RNAcentral is "partial 16S ribosomal RNA". It matches the Rfam family "Bacterial small subunit ribosomal RNA", at positions 524 to 776 of the family's 1533-position model. The record is from RNAcentral.